Molecule: ribosomal RNA, 777 nt
Filed under: uncultured bacterium
Lineage: Bacteria
Description: bacterial SSU rRNA
Rfam family: Bacterial small subunit ribosomal RNA
Source: RNAcentral
AGAGUUUGAUCCUGGCUCAGGAUGAACGCUGGCGGCGUGCUUAACACAUGCAAGUCGAACGGUGAACACGGAGCUUGCUCUGUGGGAUCAGUGGCGAACGGGUGAGUAACACGUGAGCAACCUGCCCCUGACUCUGGGAUAAGCGCUGGAAACGGCGUCUAAUACUGGAUAUGUGACGUGAUCGCAUGGUCUGCGUCUGGAAAGAAUUUCGGUUGGGGAUGGGCUCGCAGCCUAUCAGCUUGUUGGUGAGGUAAUGGCUCACCAAGGCGUCGACGGGUAGCCGGCCUGAGAGGGUGACCGGCCACACUGGGACUGAGACACGGCCCAGACUCCUACGGGAGGCAGCAGUGGGGAAUAUUGCACAAUGGGCGCAAGCCUGAUGCAGCAACGCCGCGUGAGGGACGACGGCCUUCGGGUUGUAAACCUCUUUUAGCAGGGAAGAAGCGAAAGUGACGGUACCUGCAGAAAAAGCGCCGGCUAACUACGUGCCAGCAGCCGCGGUAAUACGUAGGGCGCAAGCGUUAUCCGGAAUUAUUGGGCGUAAAGAGCUCGUAGGCGGUUUGUCGCGUCUGCUGUGAAAUCCGGAGGCUCAACCUCCGGCCUGCAGUGGGUACGGGCAGACUAGAGUGCGGUAGGGGAGAUUGGAAUUCCUGGUGUAGCGGUGGAAUGCGCAGAUAUCAGGAGGAACACCGAUGGCGAAGGCAGAUCUCUGGGCCGUAACUGACGCUGAGGAGCGAAAGGGUGGGGAGCAAACAGGCUUAGAUACCCUGGUAGUCC